CAUACACACACAGUCUGUCUCUUUCUCCCUUUCAGUCAAUCCCCUUCCUCUCUUGGUCCUACUCAAGCCUUUUCCCACCCCCGACUCUGCCUCGGCGAUGAGUCCGCUGUCUGGAUCCCUUUUCCCAGGCGUGGGCUGAGGACCCAGCGGUUCGGCAGCGGGGAUCAUCGCACGACGCUCCCGGACCCCUACAACCUCCUGUUCUCCAGCGGCCUCCAGCAUGACCACCGGGCUGGGAGCAGGCAUCCGGGCUGCCGGAGCGCUCGCUGCUCAGUGGCUCAGCCCUGCGCCGCCUUUGCCGGGAGCGGGGAUCCGAGGUGGGAGAAGGCCUCUUCGCCCGGCUCCUGGGCACAGCUACCUGCCUGAACAGCUGCCUGGCACCGAGCCUGCGCUCCCCGAGCACCCGGCCGCGGGUCCGCGACGCCUUCCGGGGCUGAGUAGCCGAAAACUAUCUCCUACUGCAAGAAUCUACCCCGGAAGAGAGAGCCCAGAGAAUUGCCCAAGCUGUCUGCAAACAGUCAAUUGACGUGAAGGAAAAUUGGGACCAAUUGAAAACCCAUGCGAGCAACUGGCAGAAACAGGUGGAAAAGGCGUUAGAGAAACUUCAAGAACCGCAGAAAGCUCUGGAUGAUCUUGAGUCUCAUGUGAUAACAGCUGAGGGGGUCCACACUGAUUGGCAACCUGUGAAUGACCUGUUUAUUGACGCAUUGCAGGAUCACAUUGAUAAAACCACAGGUAAGGACUGCCUGCAAAAUCUGAGAUUGGGUUUUGAAAGACAUCAACCUUUGCUUGCGAGAGAUAAUGGUAACUGCAGAUGCUAGAGAAUGCGAGAUAACAAUGUGUGGAGCUGGAUGAACACAGCAGGCCAAGCAGCAUCUCAGGAGCACAAAAGCUGACAUUUCGGGCCUCGACCCUUCAUGCGAGAGAACGUAACGCUUUUAAAGAAGAAAUUGCCCCAGUCAAACAAGAAGUCAAAAUAUUAAAUGAUCUGGCCAGUCAGUUAUCUCCGCUUGAUGUCUCUUUCUCUCCAAAGAUUUCUCACCAGCUUGACGACCUAAAUAUGAGGUUGAAAUUUAUACAGGUAACAGUGAAAACAUUUUCUAAACUAGCCAAUCUGUUGAAGAAAGCAUGUCCAGAUAAUUUGGCUUCAAAUAUAUGAGCAAGAUAAAGAACCGUUUCAAUUGAAG
This is a long non-coding RNA of Stegostoma tigrinum, 1187 nucleotides long. RefSeq lists it as uncharacterized. The record is from RefSeq and is a predicted model, not a curated record. NCBI's taxonomy places the organism in Eukaryota, Metazoa, Chordata, Chondrichthyes, Orectolobiformes, Stegostomatidae. The transcript has 4 exons.